GUCGAGCGCAGGAAGCUCACGGAACUCUUCGGAGGGAAGUGAAGGGAAUGAGCGGCGGACGGGUGAGUAACACGUAAGGAACCUGCCCCAAGGAUUGGGAUAACUCCGAGAAAUCGGAGCUAAUACCGAAUAGUUCUUCAGACCGCAUGGUCUGAUGAUGAAAGGCGCUCCGGCGUCACCUUGGGAUGGCCUUGCGGUGCAUUAGCUAGUUGGUGGGGUAAUGGCCCACCAAGGCGACGAUGCAUAGCCGACCUGAGAGGGUGAUCGGCCACACUGGGACUGAGACACGGCCCAGACUCCUACGGGAGGCAGCAGUAGGGAAUCUUCCACAAUGGACGAAAGUCUGAUGGAGCAACGCCGCGUGAGUGAUGAAGGUUUUCGGAUCGUAAAACUCUGUUGUAAGGGAAGAACAAGUACGAGAGGGAAUGCUCGUACCUUGACGGUACCUUG
This 450-nucleotide ribosomal RNA is filed under the name Exiguobacterium sp. CB2. Its description in RNAcentral is "bacterial SSU rRNA". It matches the Rfam family "Bacterial small subunit ribosomal RNA", at positions 61 to 482 of the family's 1533-position model. The record is from RNAcentral. Lineage: Bacteria; Bacillati; Bacillota; Bacilli; Caryophanales.